RNAcentral lists this transfer RNA (64 nucleotides) under Camelus bactrianus (Bactrian camel). It matches the Rfam family "tRNA". Rfam says of the family: Transfer RNA (tRNA) molecules are approximately 80 nucleotides in length. Their secondary structure includes four short double-helical elements and three loops (D, anti-codon, and T loops). RNAcentral also lists the same sequence under 2 other names. The record is from Rfam by way of RNAcentral. Lineage: Eukaryota; Metazoa; Chordata; Mammalia; Artiodactyla; Camelidae.
GGGGAUAUAGCUCAGUGGUAGAGUUUGCACACAUAAAGCCUGGGUUCAAUCCCCAGUACCUCCA